RNAcentral lists this unclassified non-coding RNA (312 nucleotides) under plant metagenome. RNAcentral's name for it is "partial contains 5.8S ribosomal RNA, internal transcribed spacer 2, and large subunit ribosomal RNA". The stretch from base 1 to 105 matches the Rfam family "5.8S ribosomal RNA", at positions 50 to 154 of the family's 154-position model. The record is from RNAcentral.
GAAAUGCGAUAAGUAAUGUGAAUUGCAGAAUUCCGUGAAUCAUCGAAUCUUUGAACACACAUUGCGCCCUCUGGCAUUCCGGGGGGUAUGCCUGUCCGAGCGUCAUUACGCACCCUCAAGCCCGGCUUGUGUGAUGGGCCCCGGCGUCUCGUUCGCGAGACGGGCCCGAAAGGCAGCGGCGGCGUCGACCCGAUGAGCCCGAGCGUAUGGGGACUUCUGUCACACGUUCGCGGUGCGGACCGGCGCCUGCUUGACUUUUCUGAUUAUCCAGGUUGACCUCGGAUCAGGUAGGGAUACCCGCUGAACUUAAGC